Molecule: ribosomal RNA, 408 nt
Filed under: uncultured bacterium
Lineage: Bacteria
Description: partial 16S ribosomal RNA
Rfam family: Bacterial small subunit ribosomal RNA
Source: RNAcentral
GACGAACGCUGGCGGCGUGCUUAACACAUGCAAGUCGAACGGAGUGGCGAACGGGUGAGUAUUACGUGAGUAACCUGCCCUCAACUGUGGGAUAAGCCUGGGAAACUGGGUCUAAUACUGCAUAGUUGGGGAUGGGCUCGCGGCCUAUCAGCUUGUUGGUGGGGUGAUGGCCUACAAAGGCGGUGACGGGUAGCCGGCCUGUGAGGGUGGUCGGCCACAUUGGUAUGGGGAGACGGCCCAUACUCCUACGGGAGGCAGCGGUGGGGGAUAUUGCACAAGGGGCGCCAGCCUGGUGCAGCGACGCCGCGUGAGGGAGGAUGGCUUUCGGGUUGUAAACCUCUUUCGGUACAGAACGGGUAUGUGCAGAAGAAGCGCCGGCUAACUACGUGCCAGCCGCCGCGGUAAUAC